This 1439-nucleotide ribosomal RNA is filed under the name uncultured organism. RNAcentral's name for it is "16S ribosomal RNA". It matches the Rfam family "Bacterial small subunit ribosomal RNA". The record is from RNAcentral.
GAUGAACGCUAGCUACAGGCUUAACACAUGCAAGUCGAGGGGCAGCAUUUCAGUUUGCUUGCAAACUGGAGAUGGCGACCGGCGCACGGGUGAGUAACACGUAUCCAACCUGCCGAUAACUCGGGGAUAGCCUUUCGAAAGAAAGAUUAAUACCCGAUGGUAUAAUCAGACCGCAUGGUCUUGUUAUUAAAGAAUUUCGGUUAUCGAUGGGGAUGCGUUCCAUUAGGCAGUUGGUGAGGUAACGGCUCACCAAACCUUCGAUGGAUAGGGGUUCUGAGAGGAAGGUCCCCCACAUUGGAACUGAGACACGGUCCAAACUCCUACGGGAGGCAGCAGUGAGGAAUAUUGGUCAAUGGGCGCAGGCCUGAACCAGCCAAGUAGCGUGAAGGAUGACUGCCCUAUGGGUUGUAAACUUCUUUUAUAUGGGAAUAAAGUUUUCCACGUGUGGAAUUUUGUAUGUACCAUAUGAAUAAGGAUCGGCUAACUCCGUGCCAGCAGCCGCGGUAAUACGGAGGAUCCGAGCGUUAUCCGGAUUUAUUGGGUUUAAAGGGAGCGUAGGUGGACAGUUAAGUCAGUUGUGAAAGUUUGCGGCUCAACCGUAAAAUUGCAGUUGAUACUGGCUGUCUUGAGUACAGUAGAGGUGGGCGGAAUUCGUGGUGUAGCGGUGAAAUGCUUAGAUAUCACGAAGAACUCCGAUUGCGAAGGCAGCUCACUGGACUGCAACUGACACUGAUGCUCGAAAGUGUGGGUAUCAAACAGGAUUAGAUACCCUGGUAGUCCACACAGUAAACGAUGAAUACUCGCUGUUUGCGAUAUACAGUAAGCGGCCAAGCGAAAGCAUUAAGUAUUCCACCUGGGGAGUACGCCGGCAACGGUGAAACUCAAAGGAAUUGACGGGGGCCCGCACAAGCGGAGGAACAUGUGGUUUAAUUCGAUGAUACGCGAGGAACCUUACCCGGGCUUAAAUUGCAUUUGAAUAUAUUGGAAACAGUAUAGCCGUAAGGCAAAUGUGAAGGUGCUGCAUGGUUGUCGUCAGCUCGUGCCGUGAGGUGUCGGCUUAAGUGCCAUAACGAGCGCAACCCUUAUCUUUAGUUACUAACAGGUCAUGCUGAGGACUCUAGAGAGACUGCCGUCGUAAGAUGUGAGGAAGGUGGGGAUGACGUCAAAUCAGCACGGCCCUUACGUCCGGGGCUACACACGUGUUACAAUGGGGGGUACAGAAGGCAGCUACCUGGUGACAGGAUGCUAAUCCCAAAAGCCUCUCUCAGUUCGGAUCGAAGUCUGCAACCCGACUUCGUGAAGCUGGAUUCGCUAGUAAUCGCGCAUCAGCCAUGGCGCGGUGAAUACGUUCCCGGGCCUUGUACACACCGCCCGUCAAGCCAUGAAAGCCGGGGGUACCUGAAGUACGUAACCGCAAGGAGCGUCCUAGGGUAAAACUG